GAUGAAGAACGUAGCGAAAUGCGAUAAGUAAUGUGAAUUGCAGAAUUCCGUGAAUCAUCGAAUCUUUGAACGCAUAUUGCGCCCCCUGGUAUUCCGGAGGGCAUGCCUGUCCGAGCGUCAUUACUACCUUCAAGCGCGGCUUGGUUGUUGAGCCAUUGUUCUUUGAUGGACAGGCUUGAAAUGCAGUGGCGAUGCUGAGUCUGGUGCCUGAGCGUAUGGAGCUCUGUUACACGCUUUAAUGGCCCAGCCGGCAUUUGUGAAAAUUUAAAGCAAGACAUUUGCUUUUUAUCUAAGAUUUAACCUCGGAUCAGGUAAGGAUACCCGCUGAACUUAAGCAUAUCAAUAAGCGGAGGA
RNAcentral lists this unclassified non-coding RNA (354 nucleotides) under soil metagenome. RNAcentral's name for it is "partial contains 5.8S ribosomal RNA, internal transcribed spacer 2, and large subunit ribosomal RNA". The stretch from base 1 to 120 matches the Rfam family "5.8S ribosomal RNA", at positions 35 to 154 of the family's 154-position model. The record is from RNAcentral.